Molecule: long non-coding RNA, 1165 nt
Filed under: Strigops habroptila (Kakapo)
Lineage: Eukaryota; Metazoa; Chordata; Aves; Psittaciformes; Psittacidae
Description: lncRNA (ENSSHBG00005018390.1)
Source: RNAcentral
GGGGCUCGGUGCGGGCCAUGGCGGCGGCGGCGGCGGCGGCGGCGGAGGAGCAGCGGCAGCAGCUGCGCAGCCUGCGGGACUUCCUGCUGGUGUACAACCGCAUGACCGAGCUCUGCUUCCGGCGCUGCGUCUGCAACCUCAACUACCGGCUGCUCACCGGGCGCGAGGUGCGGCGGGACCCGGGAUCCCCGCGCGCGCUGCCCGGACCCUGCUCCCGGUCCUUCGUCCCGGAUCCCCUAUCCCCUGAUCCCGUGAUUCCCCGGUCCUCGAGUCCCUGGUGCUGACCCGUGUUCCCGGGCUCCGUCAUUCCCUCUGUCCUCAUCCUCUGGUCCCCAGGUCUCUGACCCCUGGUCCUUCAUGCCCUGAUCCUCAUUCCCAUGGUCCCCUGGUGCUGAUCCCUUGGUCCUCGAUCCUGGAUACCCUGGUCCUUGAUACCCUGAUCCUCUGCUCCUUCACCCCUGAUCCACAAGUCCCUGAGCCCCUGGUGCUUCAUCCCCUGGUCCUUGUUGCCCUGGUCCUCAAAACCUUGGUUCCUGAUCCUCAGGUCCUUGAUCCCCUGAUCCACUGGUUCUUGUGCCCCUCUUGUUCCUCGAUCCGCUGAUCCCGGGUCACCAUCCUGUAGGAAUCCUGCCUCGACAGCUGUGCCUCCAAGCUGGUGCACUCCAACCACCGCCUCAUGCGCUCCUACGUGGCGCUGAUGCCCGGCAUCCUGCAGCGCCGUGCAGCCGAUUCGGCGUCCCAGGAGCCGGCACUUCCCGCAGCCCCCCCUGGCCCCAUGGCGGCUCCCGACAUGGGCACGUAGCGGGCGGAUGGCCCCGGGAUGGAUCCGGCCCCGGGAUGGAUCUGGGCCUGGUGCUGGGCUGAGCCUGUGUACGCUGAGCGGGAGCUCACGCCGCUCUGGACCCAGCUGUGCGGAUCCGCAGCCUCCAUCAGGAUUGGGAACCUCCGUCAGGAUCAGGAACCUCUGUCGGGAUCAGGAACCUCCAUCAGCAGCCACCGAGCCUGUCCAGUGGCACCGGGAAAGGGAUCGCAGCGCCAGUGCCUCCAGUGGGGGAUUCCCACUCGAACUCGGUGCCGGCGGCUCCGUGCUGGGCUCUGGCUCCAGCACCGGGGCUCGGAUUUUCAGGAGUGUUUUCCUCGUGCUAAUAAAGUGUCUCAUCCCUGA